UAAUAUUUUAAAAUUUUAUAAAUAUUGAUUCAAAUACAUCCACCAUAUAACCCAAUUCCAAAAUAAAACUCGUUCGGUAAUUUCUUUACCCGUCCCGUGAUUUUUUUUAAGUAGUAAUUUUUAAAAUUUAAGAAUUAUUUAUUAUAUAUAAAAGUUUUGCAAAUUGUAUCAUUCUCUAAUACAUUUAUAUUUUAUAGUUUAAUUUUAUAUAUAGUAACAUUAUACAUACCACAUAACAUUUUUGGUUUUAUAUAA
Molecule: small RNA, 255 nt
Filed under: Arabidopsis thaliana (thale cress)
Lineage: Eukaryota; Viridiplantae; Streptophyta; Magnoliopsida; Brassicales; Brassicaceae
Description: ATSL149410
Source: RNAcentral